UUCCCUUCGGGGAGCAAGUAGAGUGGCGCACGGGUGAGUAACACGUAGGUAAUCUACCUUUGGAUGGGGAAUAACAAUCGGAAACGGUUGCUAAUACCGCAUAAUGCAGCGGCACCUAAUGGUGACAGUUGUUAAAGCGGGGGAUCGAAAGACCUCGCGUCUGAAGAGGAGCCUGCGGCGGAUUAGCUAGUUGGUAAGGUAACGGCUUACCAAGGCUAUGAUCCGUAGCCGGCCUGAGAGGGCGGUCGGCCACACUGACACUGACAUACGGGUCAGACUCCUACGGGAGGCAGCAGUCGGGAAUUUUGGGCAAUGGGCGAAAGCCUGACCCAGCAACGCCGCGUGAAGGAUGAAAUCCCUCGGGAUGUAAACUUCGCAAGAACGGGAAGAAUAAGUGAAAGUUAAUAUCUUUCAUGAUGACGGUACCGUUUGUAAGCUCCGGCUAACUCCGUGCCAGCAGCCGCGGUAAUACGGGGGGAGCAAGCGUUGUUCGGAUUUACUGGGCGUAAAGGGCGCGUAGGCGGCCACCGCAAGUCGAUUGUGAAAUCUCCGGGCUUAACCCGGAAAGGUCAACCGAUACUGCGGGGCUAGAGUGCGGAAGGGGCAACUGGAAUUCUUGGUGUAGCGGUGAAAUGCGUAGAUAUCAAGAGGAACACCUGCGGCGAAGGCGGGUUGCUGGGCCGACACUGACGCUGAUGCGCGAAAGCUAGGGGAGCGAACGGGAUUAGAUACCCCGGUAGUCCUAGCCUUAAACGAUGAAUGCUUGGUGUCUGGGGUUUAUAGUCCCCGGGUGCCGUCGCUAACGCUUUAAGCA
This 814-nucleotide ribosomal RNA is filed under the name uncultured Actinomycetes bacterium. RNAcentral describes it as "bacterial SSU rRNA". It matches the Rfam family "Bacterial small subunit ribosomal RNA", at positions 74 to 866 of the family's 1533-position model. The record is from RNAcentral. Lineage: Bacteria; Bacillati; Actinomycetota; Actinomycetes.